RNAcentral lists this ribosomal RNA (397 nucleotides) under Leptodactylus latrans (criolla frog). RNAcentral describes it as "partial 16S ribosomal RNA". It matches the Rfam family "Bacterial large subunit ribosomal RNA", at positions 1971 to 2515 of the family's 2925-position model. Lineage: Eukaryota; Metazoa; Chordata; Amphibia; Anura; Leptodactylidae. The record is from RNAcentral.
GUUCUUUAAAUGAGGACUAGUAUGAAUGGCACCACGAAGGUUAUACUGUCUCCUUUCUUUAAUCAGUGAAACUAAUCUCCCCGUGAAGAAGCGGGGAUGUAACUAUAAGACGAGAAGACCCUAUGGAGCUUUAAACAUAAGUAACAAUUGCCCACCACAACAUCAAUCCACGGAUAUUAACCACAACAUUUAGGCAUCUUGAUUACAAGUUUUAGGUUGGGGUGACCGCGGAGCAAAAAAUAACCUCCGCAGUGAAUGGAACUUAUUUCCUAAACCCAGGGCUACGACCCUAAGAAUCAAUAAAUUGACACUAAUUGACCCAAUAUUUUGAUCAAUGAACCAAGUUACCCUAGGGAUAACAGCGCAAUCCACUUCAAGAGCCCCUAUCGACAAGUGG